Long non-coding RNA from Halichondria panicea, 351 nucleotides. RefSeq lists it as uncharacterized. NCBI's taxonomy places the organism in Eukaryota, Metazoa, Porifera, Demospongiae, Suberitida, Halichondriidae. The transcript has 3 exons. The record is from RefSeq and is a predicted model, not a curated record.
CAGGAAACAGAAAGUGCAUAGUUGCAUGUCUAAAAGCUGUUACAUAUUAACCACUGGAGGACAUUGCCACAGCCAAGUACAUGUACAUGUACGUGUAGGACACACAACCCUUUACCUGCUGUUGACGCUUUGAAGUGUAGUGCCCUGCACUUGCGUCUAUCAGAAAUGUCAAAUUUUAAGGUUUCAGCACCCUGAGACAUCACUUGCAUGGUGUCGUCCUGUAUGCAGUUCCAAAAGUACUUUGAGGCUGCCAAAAACAUCAAGAAUCUUCUACACAUUCUGGCCAUUAUGUGGAAAAGGACAGGGUUUCACUGGGGUAUUGUGUGUAGGCCCUGAUAUGAUAAAUUGUGC